Molecule: ribosomal RNA, 294 nt
Filed under: uncultured Thermus sp.
Lineage: Bacteria; Thermotogati; Deinococcota; Deinococci; Thermales; Thermaceae
Description: partial 16S ribosomal RNA
Rfam family: Bacterial small subunit ribosomal RNA
Source: RNAcentral
CCCGCACGAGCGCAACCCCGCCGUUAGUUGCCAGCGGUUCGGCCGGGCACUCUAACGGGACUGCCCGCGAAAGCGGGAGGAAGGAGGGGACGACGUCUGGUCAGCAUGGCCCUUACGGCCUGGGCGACACACGUGCUACAAUGCCCACUACAAAGCGAGGCCACCCGGCAACGGGGAGCUAAUCGCAAAAAGGUGGGCCCAGUUCGGAUUGGGGUCUGCAACCCGACCCCAUGAAGCCGGAAUCGCUAGUAAUCGCGGAUCAGCCAUGCCGCGGUGAAUACGUUCCCGGGCCUU